Molecule: long non-coding RNA, 4538 nt
Organism: Sorghum bicolor (sorghum)
Lineage: Eukaryota; Viridiplantae; Streptophyta; Magnoliopsida; Poales; Poaceae
Exons: 2
Source: RefSeq, a predicted model, not a curated record
GAAGUAAGGCCCAGGAAGAAAAACUUGAGGACCACUCGGCGUUGUACUGGCGACAACGCCUCCUCCCGUCGCUUCUCCCAGACGUUUUCUGCCCCCUACUGGGGGAGGAGCUACGAUGUAUGCACCGGCACCACGCAAGGAGCACGCGAGGAAGGAGGUCAGUGGCCCCGGCGUCGCAGCUACACCGCGUCCCAGUGCUGCCUCGCGUGCCAGCCAUCGCUCAGGCAGUUGUUGGCAACGGCGACUUUGGUGAUGCGCAUCAGCUGCUCGAUGCAUUGCCUGCAAGGUUUGUGGUCAGUCCUCUCUUCUCUUUCUUCUCAUUUCUCAAACUGCUAACCACCAGCAACAAGUCAGCUAUUUUCUCUGAUCUUUCUCCAACGCCAAGCACCAGGACCAGCCCCUAUUCCUCUCCAUCUCCCUUGCAGGCAUCAGCGAUUCAGCGUCCAGGCCACCACCAUACACCAGCACUGCCUCCAACAUCUCCCCUGUCUGCAGAUCCAUCGUGUUCUUUUUUUUGUUUAUUGUGCUUGCUGAUGUGGUUUCAUUUCAUUUCCAUCUUUUCUCCUUAGCAUGGACAUCAGUGCACCGUGCUUAUUGCACUUGGCCUUGACUGGCAGGUCUGCCACCUGGUUUAUGAUGCAUCCGGCCAUGGGAAGCUUGUGCUGCAGCCUGCAGGUGGCUUUGAUGGCCACCACUUUGCAGUGUCCUCGCAACGCUUUUCCUAUUGAUUUGGCUUUGAUACCCCCUGUUGAUUUGGCUUGGUUUAAUGAUGUAUCUGCUACCGCUCUGGUUCAUCCAUGGGUUCUAUUUAAAAUAAGAAGAAAGUUUUCUCCGCAACAGCAGUGAAGUGAUUGCAGGAAUUGCAGAGUCCACCUCAAGACCUUUGUUGCAGUCCAACCAGGUCAUGGCACUUGAGGUGGAGGAACUAAUGCGAAAAUGCUGAUGAUUGCUUAUCUCUGCUUCUGUAUGCCAAUCUAAAUUCUGAAUCUGAUUAGUAAAGUACACUUCUGCUCUUUUUGUCUUUAUUUCUCAAGGGAUAGUGACAGCCUCUCAAGGUAUGCAUCCAACUUACUGUGAAUCUUCUGAUUUGGUACCACAGAAAAAGCAAAUGAAAAAUACUAUAGAAACCUGGAAAUUGCAACAGGCCAACAACAACCAAGAAAAUGUCAUAUUUCUGUAAUGUGUACUGAAUAUGUAGUGGAUGUUCACAAUGAUUUCAGGUCGACUGGUCGAAGCUGGUCGCUCUAGGACCGACCAGGCGAUUAAUCGUCGACCAAGGCGAUUAAUCGCCCUGGUCGACCCUGGUCGUCCACCUGGUCGUCCAGCUAUUUCAGGGCAUAUAUGCCUAUAUAUAUACCUCUAUAUAUACUAUAUAAUAUACACAAUCAAGCUAGCAUCAAGACUACAUUAGUGUUUAGAUAGUGAAUUACUUGUGGGAGUUGGUUUCUUCUCUUUUCUGCACUGUCCAGAGGUCCAUAUUGCUGUCCCAAACUCCCCCUGCAGCCCCUCUAUUCUAUCUAAACCCUAACAGGCCAAAAACUUAAAGCCCAUUAGCCCAGUCCCAGUUAGAAAAGGCACAAAAAAACAGAAGUCUGGUCGUCCAUCUUACCUGGUCGUCCGAUUAAUCGCGAUUAAUCGAUGAUUAAUCGGACGACCAGCUUUCUUGUCGAACUAAUCGAGUCGGACCUCCUAAUCGAAUCCUAGGAGCGACCUGGACGAUUAAUCACGAUUAAUCGGACGACCUGAAAUCAUUGGAUGUUCAACUAUAUAAUUAUUCUCACAUUAUAAUCAUUUAAUCUAGGGUACUAGCCUAAUAUUAAAUGCUGCCACUUCUGUCCUGCCUCCUUUUCUUCUCUGCACAAUGUUUGGUACUUUCAUGCCCAUAGUAACCAGUUAUGAUUGCCGACAAUGUUUGGCUUUAAUGUUUUCAUUUUUACCUUCCAUAAACCUGUGGUACACUUAUCUAUAGUAACUAGCUUAGAUUUAAAAGAAAUGUGCAUGAAAUCUACCAACUGAAGCACUCUGGUGUAUGGUGUAAUUCUGGGAUAUGACUUUUAUCUCCAUAUAUAUAUACAUAAGAUGCAGCACCAAUUUCACAAUUGGAGAGUAUGCACAUAAUUGUUUGUAAUACAAGGCAACAGCUUCUGGUUCAGGUGAAGAAUAAGAGUAGUUCGGUCAUUGGUGUAUGGAGUAGCUUCUCGUUCACGUUUGAGCACUUUUAAUUUAUUCAUACAAUCUCUACAAGUACAGUAGGGCUCCCAUAGGAUCUAGAACUGUGUACAUAUCACAUAUACAAUUUGGCAGGCUUAAUUUAUUUUCCUAAUCCACAUACAUUUUCCUUGUUUCAGAAAAUACCUACCCCAUGUCAUUUUCCAAUGCAUUUGAUUUGGUUGACAGAUCUGAUUUACAAAUGAUUCAAGUUCAUUCCUAACAACGCCUGUCCCUAUCUCAAAAUAAUCAUUGUUUUGCAGUAAAUAUUUCCUUCAAGCUGCUGCUGUUAGUGGUGGCUUUGUUAUCGAGGAUAUGUAUUAGAAAUGACUACAAUUGUAUAUUUUUGUUCACUGAAAGAAUAGUAUAUUUUGAAAAUAGUGAACUAUUAAGGGAAAAAAAUAAGAACAUGCAUUGCAUGUAUUUCAUUAAGAGAAUGGUGAGUACAACCGAACAUCCAAAGUGUUAAAAGUACAGACACCAAUUAAACUCUAGGCCAAACAAACAAUGGUAAUAUACACAAACAAGAGAAGAAAAGAGCACAGGAGCUUGCCCAAGCUCUAACCUAGCAAGAAGACACACAACAAAACAAAGGGGUAAAGCAAAACUAGUUAUCUGGAAGUAGCAAUCCAACCGACAGUUUGCAGCCUCCACCUUGAUCUUUUCCACUGGUUCUAGAGGUCAGCAGCCUUCACUGUGGAUGAGCCUCGCAUUCCUCUCUGUCUAGGUUGACCAAUUGGUGAGCAGUAAAAUGCAGUAUAAUCUUGCCAUCACAAACAAAAUGUAACCCAGUAAAAACAGAAUGCUUUUGCACUGUUAAGUUAUUGCAUACAUAGUCAAAUUACUAUCUUCAUUGCAUACAUAGUCAAAUCACUCUCUUGGCUGUUACUAUUUGCACUCUUGGUAGCAGUAAAAAACAGAACGCUUUCUUCACUAUUAAGUAGGAGAGAUUUGUUGAGAGCAACAGUGUAACCGAAUUUCAUUCAGUUAGCAUUAGUUUAUGAACGCCUCUACAAUUUCAUUCAGUUAGUCUUACUCGGAUCAUGGACGAGUACUUUUAAUCCUCUGCGUAUAAGUGGAAGUAAUCCGAAGAGGAUUAGCAAAGAGUUCUGCAACCCCCAUCCAUUGCUCUGUUGAAGACUUGCAGCACACUUCUGAAAUUUUAUCUGCAAUGAAGGACUUUCCAUGCACUUACUUACCUUGGCCUCCCCCUUACUGUUCCAAAGCUGAUUUGUUACCUCUGAUUGAUAAGGAUGCAGAUCACCUCUCAGGAUGGAAAGCUUCUAUAAUGAAUAAAGCUGGGAGCCCUAUUUAUGGUCCAGAAUGGUGCUGACAGCCACCCCAUUUAUCUUAUGAUUGCUCUUGAUCUUCCAAAAUAGGUUGUCAAGGCCAUCGACAAAAAUGCAGAGUCUCUAGUGGGGCCAAGAACAAGCCAAUGGAGGUAAUUGUCUGGUGACCUGGGACUGGGAAAGGGUGUAGCAUCCACUUGAAUUCAGUGGCCUUGUUACUAAUAAUCUUAAAAUAAUGGGAUGGGCCUUAAGCAUCCGUUGACUGUGGGCACAAAAGACAGAUCCUUUACAACCAUGGGCUGGACUGUCAAUCCGCGUACUGCAGAAUGCUCUAGCUCUCUUUAAUGUGUCUGUGGACUAUAUAAUUGGUAAUGGUGAACAAAUUCGGUUGUGGGCUGAUCGUUGAUUGCAGGGAAAGACAGUGGCAGAAUUGGCCCCUAACUUGCACAAGAUGAUCUCCAAAAAGGCUGUAUAGACAAGACUGUACCUCAGGCAGUUUACAAUCGUGCUGCCUGGGUGGCUCAUAUCAAGAGAGCUCUAACAGUACAGGUGCUAGUUGAGUAUUUAGUGGAUGGCAUGUCUCUGCAACCAGAUAUUUGACCAGUACUGUUGGAAAGCUCUCCCAUGAUUCAGCCUUUUUUUCCCCCCAAGGAUCUAUCAAUUUUGGUCCCUGGAAAAGAAUUUAAAAAGCUGCGUCCCUUUAAAAUGCAAGACGAAGACAAUGAGCAGGAGAUGCAGAAGGUGGGAGGGCUGCCCAAUAUAAGAAGAACCUGGAGCACAGGAUGACCUGACAUAUAGAAGUGCUUUCAUCUUUCCCAUUGAGUGAUCCUACUAUCAGCAAUUUGAUUGCUGAUCAUCAACUGUUAUGUUGUCAGUUAUGGACAUCUUAUGUUUAGAAUUUUGAUCAUUUAUCUUAUCUCAUGGUUACUUUUGUUUUCCAUUUACAGUACCUGUCCCAAGGCACUGACCCUAAGACCCAUACGCACAAGUUCUUGCAUGUUUGUGACUUCCAACUUCACUUAAUAAAAUAAACUUUACUUA